UUUAGGUCCAGAUUAUGUAAUGUCUCCUUUAAACAUUAAUGAAAUUCUGCAACUAUUUUAGCCAAGAAACUUUCUUUGCCAUAUAUAUAAAGUUUAUAUAAAUGCUUAUCAAUCAAUCAUUAAGAAAGACUAGAGAGAAAUAAAUAAGAAGUAACAAACCAAAAAGAAAAUAUAGAAAACAUUUCAUUAAAAGAGAAAGAUAAAGUACAUAAACAACAAAAGUAACAAAAGAAAAC
This 236-nucleotide long non-coding RNA is filed under the name Lathyrus oleraceus (garden pea). RNAcentral's name for it is "Pisum sativum (pea) long non-coding RNA (PSAT_LNC029687)". Lineage: Eukaryota; Viridiplantae; Streptophyta; Magnoliopsida; Fabales; Fabaceae. The record is from RNAcentral.